AUUGAACGCUGGCGGCAGGCCUAACACAUGCAAGUCGAGCGGAUGAAGGGAGCUUGCUCCUGGAUUCAGCGGCGGACGGGUGAGUAAUGCCUAGGAAUCUGCCUGGUAGUGGGGGAUAACGUCCGGAAACGGGCGCUAAUACCGCAUACGUCCUGAUGGAGAAAGUGGGGGAUCUUCGGACCUCACGCUAUCAGAUGAGCCUAGGUCGGAUUAGCUAGUUGGUGGGGUAAAGGCCUACCAAGGCGACGAUCCGUAACUGGUCUGGGAGGAUGAUCAGUCACACUGGAACUGAGACACGGUCCAGACUCCUACGGGAGGCAGCAGUGGGGAAUAUUGGACAAUGGGCGAAAGCCUGAUCCAGCCAUGCUGCGUGUGUGAAGAAGGUCUUCGGAUUGUAAAGCACUUUAAGUUGGGAGGAAGGGCAGUAAGUUAAUACCUUGCUGUUUUGACGUUACCAACAGAAUAAGCACCGGCUAACUUCGUG
RNAcentral lists this ribosomal RNA (484 nucleotides) under uncultured bacterium. Its description in RNAcentral is "partial 16S ribosomal RNA". It matches the Rfam family "Bacterial small subunit ribosomal RNA", at positions 30 to 507 of the family's 1533-position model. The record is from RNAcentral.